RNAcentral lists this ribosomal RNA (425 nucleotides) under uncultured bacterium. Its description in RNAcentral is "bacterial SSU rRNA". It matches the Rfam family "Bacterial small subunit ribosomal RNA", at positions 354 to 796 of the family's 1533-position model. The record is from RNAcentral.
GUGGGGAAUAUUGGACAAUGGGCGCAAGCCUGAUCCAGCCAUGCCGCGUGAGUGAUGAAGGCCUUAGGGUUGUAAAGCUCUUUUAUCCGGGACGAUAAUGACGGUACCGGAGGAAUAAGCCCCGGCUAACUUCGUGCCAGCAGCCGCGGUAAUACGAAGGGGGCUAGCGUUGCUCGGAAUCACUGGGCGUAAAGGGCGCGUAGGCGGUCUUUUAAGUCGGGGGUGAAAGCCUGUGGCUCAACCACAGAAUUGCCUUCGAUACUGGGAGACUUGAGUUCGGAAGAGGUUGGUGGAACUGCGAGUGUAGAGGUGAAAUUCGUAGAUAUUCGCAAGAACACCGGUGGCGAAGGCGGCCAACUGGUCCGACACUGACGCUGAGGCGCGAAAGCGUGGGGAGCAAACAGGAUUAGAAACCCGUGUAGUCC